AGAAAUUGAAAAAGAGCAAAAACUGGAAUACCAAUUAGUACUUUCAAAACAUUUAGAAGAGAGAACAUAAGAACAUUCCAUUCUGUCAUCCCCCAGCAAGACUAAAAGGUGAAUUAGGUGACCUUGUUUUAUCUAUUUCAGUGAAGAAUUACAAUGUCAUUAACUAACAUGUAUUUUAUACAUUAUCUUUAAUAUUAUUAACUUUUUAUAUUAUCUAUAUAGAUGGCAAUAAUUAAAAUAGAAAAGGUGCAGCUGGCAUACAAUUAACAAAAGGAGCUCAGCAAAAUAUGUUACUGUGUGGAUUAUGUCAAAACGUAAGUAAUCAUUUGACUAGAUCAAAUAUAAAGAUAAUGUUAGGAGCUAGUUGAUCUACAAGUCAUUCAUUUAAAGACAAAAAUGGGUAAUUAUGCAGCCUUGCCUUUAAAUUAUAACUAAAUGUUGAAGCCACAUAAAUCAAGUUUUCUGAUCCGCAAGAAAACCCCUUAAACAUUGAAUAUUAGUUUUUGUACAAUGUCAAGUGAACAUAACAAAUCCUACAAGGUGAUUGGUCAAAUUUAACCAAUCACCUACAGGUGAAUAUAACAAAAUCGAAAUUUUCAAAUUGGCGGCUAACCAUUUUAUUGACAUUAGUGAUAAAUAAAGAAAUAAGCGAAAUUAAAAGGAAUUCAGAUCAGAAAAACACAAAAAACUUGUGCCAAAAUACUAAAACAAUUAUUCGCCUUGGGCUUGGUGAUUAUAGGGGAAUAUUCACCUAAUUGACUUCGUCUCUGCGAAUAUCCCCCAAUAAUCAACUCGCCUUCGGGCAAAUAAUUGUUAAAUAUUUGGUGAUAAUACAUGGUUGUCAAAACUACAAACAACGUUUUCUGUUGCUCAAACUGAACAAUCAAACUGAGCAGCCAUAAAUAAUAAAUCCUAUCGCAUCUACAUAUUAAUACAGUACCGGUACAUUACACUGGCAUUAUAUACCUAUAGUAUACUGUAUGUUUGUGAAUUUGCACUUUAAAAGUUCGAUAACUACAUCAAUUGGCUCUGUUACUCUAUAACAUUCUACUGAGUAUUGGUUUAAAAGAGUUAAUGCACUGGAAUCACAGGGCUAUGAUUUCUGCCAGAAUUGGCUUACAAUUCUAUUUUUUGCAUCUGCUUUUCAGCUCAAUUAUUCAGCCAGUCUAAAAUUGUUUAAAAAUCUAUACUUGAAGUUUUCAACUUGAAAUAACCUUUCAAGGUAUUUUUUAGACAAUACCUAAUACCAAUUAAUUGAAAUUAAAGUUUAUGUUAAUGAGUUUUAUAAAUUGGCUAUAUAAAAUAAUUUAGUGCUAAUUUAUAGUUUUAGUGCUAAUUUAUAGUGUUAUGCCAAGAGUAUCAUAAUUACAUACUUAUAUGCACUGUAAAUUCCAUGGUAUGUACUCAGUACAACAAGCCAAAUAUUAUGGUUACAACUUGAAUUGAAAUUCUGACUAGCUUUAUUAUAGUAACAGACAUUUACAAGCUUACUGUAUUAUGGUUUGUGAGCAGGCAGGCAGUCGUACAUAUUUACAUUUGUGAGGCUUUCUCCUAAUAAUGGUUAAUUAUUCAAUAAUUACAGUACCAUUACUGGUCCAUUUUACACACAUGUGUAACUUCUAUUGGAAUUCACAUAGUGUGCAUAACUUCUUCCCAUUACUUUGUGUGUGUCAAGAUCCUUCUUGCAGAUUGCUUGAAAGCUUUUCUUUGUAUUCUCUGAUUGGUUUUUAAUACGUACCCUAUCUUCUUCUGAUCGUUCGAAUGAGUUAGGAAGUGCUGCUUAUACCCUAAUUGAAAGCUUGUCUUUGUAUUUUUAUUAUUCUAUCUCGUACCAUGGUCUGAUUAGUAACCUGCUGUUUAUGACCUGUAUUAAUACAACAUAAAAUUUUCUUGCAUGUUGCAUACUGUACAGGCUGGUACUCGGUAUAUGUGUUAAUGUAUUGCCCCAUUUGCAAAUGUGGACUGUGAAAUUUCCAGAACACGAGGUGGCCAUUCCUGUUGAUAAUGUGGUUCAGCUUGUGUCUCUUCCCUGUUGGCUUUUGCAUGUUGCAUACUGUACAGGCUGGUACUCUGUAUAUGUGUUAAUUAAUGUAUUGCCCCAUUUGCAAACGUGGACUGUGAAAUUUCCAGAACAUGAGGUGGCCAUUCCUGUUGAUAAUGUGAUUCAGCUUGUGUCUCUUCCCUGUUGGCUUUGGUGUAUAAAUAUCAAUAUAAUAAAGUAAGUCAAAUAAAGUUCUGAACAUUACCCCUUCGGUAUUGCUUCUGACGUAUUCGAUGACGAAGACGCCACGGUCAUUUUUCUUGGGCGUGCCCUACCACACUGUUUGAAAAGUAUCCCUUUAACUGUGGCCUUGCGCUUCUAUAAAUAUCAGAAACAAAGAAUUAUUUUAAGUUAUUUACUGUAGGGGAUAUCCGAUAAUUACUGCAUGAGGGGUUUUCAGCCCGGCCUGAAUUUCAGUUAUUGGUAUACGCUCGUUUUGCGAUGUUUACCAGUGAGUGCUGUUUUUGGUAGGACCAUCUGAACGACGAGUUCUCGUAAUUCAUUGAACUUUUUUUUGCUCCUUAUGUCCUCCAGAUGAUCGGCAAGUUCCAGGAGCUGGACUACCUCCGGACAUCACUAAAAAAUACUUUUGUUAUGUGCAAAUAGACUGAAUGACAUACACGUUAUAAACUGAGAUUCCUUCGUAUAUAUCGAGCCACUCGUUGAAAAACUCGAAUGGGGAGUCAUCUGAACAAUAUAUGUCACUUACAUCUUUAUGUUUCUGCUUUUGCCCAAUGUUUUCUGGACAAUGGUGUCGCUUAUUCACUCAUUGCUGUCGAGUGUUGCAAUAUCCGUGUUGAAGACGGAGAUUCCUGCCGGACCGACCGGCCAAAUCGUUGGCGGACAACUUAUUCGCUUAAAAAUCAACUGAUAAAUUACUAAUUAAGUAACUUAAGUACAGUUACAUACAAACACAGAUGAAAACGAAACUUCAUAUAGCAGAUUUAUUUAUAAUUCUUGUUAUUUCUUAUUUUGUUACCGAACAAAAAGGUAUAUUCUGCGGCCAAUAGAUUAGUUUGUUGGCCUUAUCUUGCCUCAAGUAUUUCAUUUUUUUUGUCCCUGCAAAAAGAGAUUUGAAGCAUAAAGUUUCACACAACUGCAUGGAAUCACCAUUACGCCAUAUGAUUUACAAAUGCAACGCUUGUCUCACUGGUGCGAUUCCAUUCAUUGCAACAAAUGAUUGCUUACCUCCUCCAUGUAAUCCUUACAAGCCAACACAAUUUUCACCAGUUCCUUCUUAUUGAGAAUAUUUUUUCCUUGUUCUCUUUUUGUUACCGAACAAAAAGGUAUAUUCUGCGGCCAAUACAUUGGUUUGUUGGCUUCAUCUUGCCACAAGUAUCUCAUUUUUUGGCCAGGUCUUCUACUGGCAGUGUGCUUCCUAUAUGGUUAAAAAAAGGUUAUAUAAUUAUAGAUGCUACAGCAACACGUCUAUUGUGCAUGGUGUCGCUCACCCACACGUUUUGGUCGAGUGUUGCCAAUUAAAUCGGUUUCGUAGACGGAGAUGCCAUUCCUGCAGCCAUUAGGGAAUGGAUGAUAUGGUUGCAGCUGUACUUCGCCGUUGGCUUCUGUGCAGAAAUAUCUAUGUAAUAAUAAAGUCAGUCAAAUUAGUCUGAAUAUGCAUUACCCCUUGGUGUUGCGUCGGACGGUAUUCGAUCAAAUAGACACCACAGUCGUUGCAGUCUGUCUGGCAACCUGUGAUUUAAGGUUACAGAACACCUUUGAGUGUUAAUUUUGCCUAAAAAUUUUUUAUUGGUUUCCAUGAAAGCAUUAGACUAGUUCUACUAUCUGACCAAGUUUGAACGGAAAAUGUUGAAAACUCGCAGAGUUAUUUAAUAAAAUACAUUUCGCUGCAAUAAGAAAAACAUUGAAAAUGUAAUAUUCAAAUUCAAUUUUCUCCCGAAACAUUUUACGGUAAUUACUGAUUUUCAAACGAGUUAUGCUCUCGCGGGUUUUAACCAAUUUUUCUCAAAUUUUCACAGGACAUAGCUAAAGACGUCAGUUUCAAAAUUGUGUUCGACUUUUUUUUAAUUUUGGAUAUUUUAAAAAUAAAGAGCAAUUUACUAAAACAAUUCAGAAAUAUAUUGCAGUCGUCAAAGAAAUCGCCAUAUCAGCGGAAUGACGAAAUAAACAAAAAUUUCCGAACACAAUUUUUUAGAACAACUAUUUUACUGUAUAAAAAUGAUAUUUUCAUAAAUAUAACUUAAAACCAGCAGGAACAUAACUCAAAAGCGUAACGGGACCGCGAUUUAAGAUUUUCCUGAGUAAUUCUUACAUUAUUUCAUUGUUUGUUAAUUUUACAACUUCACCAUAUUUUGCAUGCACUGGAGAACAUUUGGGAAAAUUUGAUGAAAAUCGGACUGAUAUUGAGCGCGCAGUAGCGAUUUUCCGCAAAACGCAAAAAAAGGUGUCCUGUAACCUUAAAAAGGCAGAACAUUUAUUUAGCUUCAGAAUGAGAGUCCAGGAAUUUAGCCAAAUUAAUAUUUUUGAGAAUCCUAGUCAAUCUUUUAUCCGAUGUGGAAUAUGGAAAGAUCGCAUGGUUCCAGCUAUUGUGUUGGUUUACUGCCGCCCUAAAUUCCCUCCCCCGCACCUACAGUAUAUUGGCAGCCCGCACGUUGUAGAAACCAUGUCUCACGAUAAAUAAUUUAAAGUACACAAGAAUGAGCCAGCAGUAGCUCAUUGCAUGAUAAAUAGUUUUUCCUGAACAUUUCCCCUUCUGUAAUGCUUGUCGCGAAUUCUAUUACGAAGACACUAUAAUACCCUGUAUAUUGACCUUUUUGGGGUGUCCAUCUUGAUUAGUUGGGCCAAAAAGUGGUAAAGACCGCUAUUAUAUAAUAUACCCAACUAAAAUGUAUUCAUCACUACACCUAUAAUAUACAUAGCAACUACAAGUACAUGUAGCUGGGGUACUUAUACCGUAUAGUCAACAUAAAAUUGUCUCACCAAAGUUCGGUAUAAAUUAUACAAUAUAAACUUAGUAUUAUAGUACCAACUGUUGGAAGCCACUCGGGAAUGGGUGGUAUUUUCCGUUGGCUUGUGUGCAGAGAUAUUUAUAUAAUCAAGUCAGUGAUAUAUAUACUGAUUAAUAAAAUAAUGAAUCGUAACUUUGUACAGUCUACAUUGUUCUUUAUUGCAUGGCAUGAAUAUUUGAGGUAGAACGUUAUGGUAACUUAGUUCAGCAACACGUCGACGAUGGUGUCGCUCACCCACUGGUUUUCGCCGAGUGUUGUCAUGUCGGUGUUGUAAACGGCGUAUCCUCCGUAACGAGACACUCUGUCCAAUCACACAGAUAUAGAUACAUGUCAAUGGCAGCUUGAUAAUAUAAAUAACUGUAAUAUACUGGUGGGAUGUAAUCGGGCAUUGAAAAAGCCCAAAUGGGGAAGUGAUCUGAAUAAUAUAUAAUUAUACAUCUCUAUGUUUCUGCUUUCACUUGAGGUUUUACGGAAUAAAAUGUACAGUCAUGCUUAAAAGGGCUAAGACUGGUCCAUCCCUUAAUAAUAUAUUCAACUUUUGAUUAAAAUAUGAAAGUUAGUCUCUGUAUUUGCUGUUAUAAAUACUUGUAUGACGUUAUGGUUACUUAGCAACACGUCGACAAUGGUGUCGCUCACCCAUUCAUUCUCGCCGAGUGUUCCAAAUCUUUGUUAUAACUGAUAUGCCCCGUAACUGCAACUGAUAAAAUUAAUACUUCGCACAAAAUAUUAAGCCAUCUUUUUCACCUAGAAGAUAUUGAAAUUUAGCAUUAAUAUAGAAUAUAUAAAAGUAUGUAUACCUAGUAUGAUCAAGUAAGUUACCUAUUCGUGCCGAUGGCGAACAGAACGGCAUCUCGUUGUAAACGCAACUGCAUUUGUUUUUAAGAGCUUACUUUCCAAUGACGGUGUUCAUUUUUGUGAUCAAAAACACUUCAGCCACUUCAGUGGAAGUUACAAUCGGCUAAAACUCUAACACAACCUCACGCAAUCACUCGCUACCUUUUACCUUCUUGGACCCUCAUGCAAACAUGACCACCCUUAUAGUAGCCGUUUGACUAUUAACUUCUCAAAGGACCAAUCAAGGUGGUUGUAUCUGCAGCUACGUACUACUCUGCAUUGAUACCUGCUGGUAGCACGAGUUUUCGUUCAAGUGUACGUAUUUCUUUGCACGUCGUAUAUUUGCCUGCUUUGGCCAGGUCUUCUACUGGCACUGUGCUUCCUAUAUGGGUAAAUAUUGUGAUAUAAAAGGCUAAAGGCCUAGUUAACAAAAUUAAUGCUAAAUUUGAGCACCUUGUUCUCUUUUCGUCACAGAACAGAAAGGUAUAUAUUCUCUGGCCAAAAGAUUGGUUUGUUGGCCUCCAUCUCCCAGAAGAAUUUCAUUUUUUUCGUCCCUGCAAAAAGAGAUUGAAGCAUAAAGUUUUACAAAAUUGUAUUGUUGUGGAUUUUACUUUUUUUUUUCAAGAUUUUACUUUAUUUUUUUCAUCCUUGCAAGCCAACACAAUUUUUACUAGUUCUUUUUUAUUAAGAAUAUUUUUUGCUGGAAGAUGUUAAAAUUAUUAGGCAUCGAUAAUGUACAUAAAUGUGAUAUUUUUUUUCCUGCAUAAUUUAUCAUAACAAAAUCCUGAACAAAAUUAAUGGUAAAUUUGAGCACCUUGUUCUCCUUUCGUUACAGAACAAAAAGGUAUAUCCUGCGGCCAAUAGCUUGGUUUGUUGGCCUCUUCUUGCCACAAGUAUUUUAUUUUUUGGCCAGGUCUUCUACUGGCACUGUGCUUCCUAUAUGGUUGAAAAUUGUUGUAUAAAAAGCUUUUAAAGGCCUAGUUUGGCCUAACUGCUAGAACAAGUUUUUACACUAGUGUGUGUAAUUCUUGACAAGUCAAUUUGGUUGGAUCUUCAAUUACAGGCACUGUUUCCUUCCGCUUUGCGACGUUUCCUUUGGUAAAAUGAUUGUUUGAUUUUCAUAAUUAGCUUGAAAUCUUGUAGACUUGUACCAGUGGCUUUGUCUUCAAAAACCAAUGCCAUGAAAAAAUAAAACUAAAAAUAGAAGAUACGGUAUACAUUGAAAAAAAAAAUUAGGAUGAGGUCGGGCAGAUUUUUGGCCGCCGCUUGCGUUCGCUUGACCCGGUAAAUUCUUCUUUUUUGUGCGGUGGCCAUCUUUAGUUGGGACAAAAAGUGGUGAAGACCGUAUUUUGGUCCUCGUUGGAACUGACAAUGAUGACCUCUUUCAUUUGGUCCUCAUCGGAACUGAUAAUGAUGACCUCCUUUUGGUCCUCGUUGGAACUGUUAUAAUGAUGACCUUUUUCUUUUGGUCUUCAUCGGAACUAGUACUCAGUUCAGCCAUAUAAUAAACCGAUUAUUGACCUCGCUUGUUCGGUGAAAUAUCAGACCUCUGUUUUUUUGCAUGGACCUCGCACCUUCGUCGCUCAGUCCAUGGUAAAAAAACUAAAACUGUCUGUACCAGUGUGGGUAGUACCAAUGUAGAAAUGCUGUGCUGAGUGGUUAUAUUACUACCUUAAAAAAUAAGCAGAAAGUCGACGUUUCGAGCGAAGGCCCUUCGUCAAGAGUUACUAACUCUUGACGAAGGGCCUUCGCUCGAAACGUCGAGUUUCUGCUUAUUUUUCUAAGGUAGUAAUAUAGCCACUCAGCACAGCUUGGUAAAAAACCUCUGUCUGAUAUUUCAGUUGGCUAGUUGUAGGGUAACCCACGUAAACACUCGCUAGUUUUUUACUCUCUUGAACCAUGCAUGCAAACAGGCUUAGGCCUUUAUAGUAGCCGUUUGCUUACGAACUUGCCCGAAAGGACCUUCGUCCUUCAAGGUGGUUGUAUCUGCUCCUACGUACCACUCCUGCAUUAUCAUGCAAAAUGUUAACACUGUUUAUACUUGCUGGUAACACCAGUUUUCGUACCAGCGUACGCAAUUCCCUGCACGUAUAUUGGCCUGCUUUGGCCAAGUCUUUAGCGUCUUUUACUGGCACUGUUCUUCCUAUAUGGUGCAAAUUGUGAUAUGUAGACUGCAUAUUAUUUCAUAUAUGGAUCUCUUGGAACAAAGGUGUCAUUCAAAAGCUGAGGCCCUUGAUAUACAAAAAUUGAUUAUGAAUAUAUAAGAAAUGCAUAUACAAGAAAAACCUUGCUUUUUGGGACUUUUUUGUAUUUAAGCACUUUGGUUGGUGAGCAAUAUGGAACAUUUUCCGGCCAAUAGAUUGGUCGAUUACAAAUAUUUUACUUUUUUGCAGAAAAACAGAUUGAAGCAUAAAGUUUUACAAAAUUAUAUUAUUACACCUUGAUCUCUCCUUGUCACGGAAGGAAAAAGCCAAUAUAUUAAUUGGAUUAUUACCCUUGCCUUGCCAUAGAUAUUUAAUAUUUUUCUACCCUACAAAAAGAGAUUGAAGCAAUGUUUCUGAAAUUAAAAAAGAUAGUAAUGCCAUGCAGAAGAGUUAGAUUAAAAUGAAAGCUAAUUGUUUUUGUAUUUUUUUUUAUAAUUUUACCUCCUCCUUUUGGUCUUUAUCGGAACUUAUAAUGAUGACCUCUUUCUUCUGGUUCUCAUCGAAAGUGAUAAUGAUCACCUUAUUCUUUUUGUCUCCAUUACCCCCAGACGUUUAAGGGUCCCUGAAACCUUUUUCAAAACCCUAUUUCAAACCUGAACGAUGCCACCAAAGGUUUGGUCCUCUUUCUCCCUAUAAAAGAAGACAACGUUGAAAUUGUAUUGGUUUGGCUUAUUUCUGUGCCCAAUGUUCGAAAACCCCUAUUUCAAAGCCCGAAUGAUGCUACGAGUCUUUUUAGUUCAGGUCGUCUCUUCUUUACUUCACUUGUGUGUACUAGGUGUGGCCCGAUUUUUCCCUGUGAGAGAAAACAACAGUAUAGCCAAUUUACAGACAAGCAAAUCGUCUUAUACCAGGUGUACAUGGUCCUGUUCUCCCUGUAAAAGAAGACAACAUUGAAAUUGUAUUGGUUUGGCUUAUUUCUGUGCCCAGUGUCUCCAAAAACCCUAUUUCAAACCCCGAAUGAAGCUACCAGGCUCUUUAAUUCUGGGCAUCGCUUCUCGACCUUUCUUGUUAGUACUAGGUGUGGUCCUACUUCUCCCUGUAAUAGAAGAGAACAGUAUAGUCAAUUUACAGACGAGCAAAUCGUCUUAUACCAGAUGUGCAUGGUCCUGUUUCUCUCUGUAAAAGAAGACAACAUUGAAAUUGUAUUAAUUGGUUUGGCUUACUUCUGUGCCCAAUUUUUCGAAAAAAACUUACUUCAAAGCCCGAACGAUGCCACCAGACUCUUCAGGACCGGUUUUUGCCUUUUCAUUUCUUUGGUAACCACAUGGUUUGGUCGUAUUUCUCCCUGCAUUCAUUUUUAUGUCCUCCAGUUGAUUGUAAUUAAUCUCCAAUUGCGGUACCUCGAGAUUUUCGCUGUCUUCUUUAUGUAUAGCAUCGUAUUAAAAAUUACUUGCGUUCUGUGUGAAUAAACUGAAUAACCUAUACACACUAAUAGCAUUUUGAAGUCAUUAAACAUUACUUGAGUGCUCUUCACUUUUUUUUUCAUUUUAAUUCUUGUCUCGCCAACGCGACUACAACAGUUCCUACAAUGAAUGUUAUGUAUACAAUAAAUAUAUAAAUCUGCAGGCAUGCAUGUUAUUCAAGUGCUUCUAAAGGUAUAAACUAUGUUUUUUUGCUGAUACAUCCUAUGUACCUAGUAUAUAUUUCCUUCAACGAUAACUAUUGAUUAGUGAUACAUUUUAGUGUAAAAAUUCAGAAUAUUUUUGAGCUAAUCGUUAACAUUAUUAUUUUCAAAUCGAUACCGCAGGGGGUAAUUGAGUAUGCCAAGCAUUUAAAUUUAAAUCGCACAAUGUGUUUGGGUUACCUAUGCCAUAACGUCUCAAUUUAACCACUUUAACCUACGCUACAUAUAUCGAUUCCAACAUCAAAUCCAUCAGUGUAGUGGUAAAUCGUGUUGUUUAGUUCUUGCAAUGCCCCGCGCAAUUCUUGAUCAUCCGAGGUAGUUAUAUUUUCAUUUGGCCCGCGGUUUACCGUUUCUUGUUCGACGAAAUCCAGAUACGCCAUCAUUAUUUUUAUUAGUUCUUUUUUCUCUUUUAAGGUCUUUUCUCCUUUUGUGGACGUUAGCCCGCAAAACGGCACAUCCUCCGGCCAUUAUAUUGGCCGGUUUCCCGGCUCGGACCAGCAAUAUCUGGCUUUCUUCUUCCCUUCUGGUACUACGAGUUUUCGGAUCAUCAAUGGGUGGUACUGGUUGACUUCCCCGUUGGCUUGUGUGCAGAAAUAUCUAGAUAAUAAAGUCAGUGAUAUAUACUGAUUGAUAAAAUAAUGAAUUGGAACAGUGCAUUUAUGUUGACAUCUCCAGUGCAUCUAUUUUGACAGCUCCCCCCUCAAACUUCCCCCCAGAAACCAUGUUUGACUUCAUGCAGUAAUGUACACUACUUGAUUUCUUAAUAUAUUAAGACUCUGAAUGCUAACCUGCCGUUUGGAUUUUGCCGUGGCCAUCAACAUAAACAAGGACCAGGCCCCCUAUCCCUGGUCUUUUUGAGAGUGCAUCGACCUAAAAAUUACAUAUUUAAAAAGAUACCUUUAUUGGUAUAGAGCGUUUGCGCUCAUUUCCAAAGGAUCAACUCAACAAAAGACACAAAAGCCAUGGCGGCCAUGAAGACUGAAGUGUAACCGCCGCCACGCCAUGACUCGAAAUGCUGUCGCCAUUGAUGACAGCAUUUGAACGGUUAUAGAAAAAUCCGACGGGCAAAACAGCGCCUUGGCAAAACCAAGAAUUCGACUGGCUAUCUAUUAUUUCUAUGGUGUUGCCAUGCCUGUGUUGUAUACAGAGAUUCCUCCGUAUCGAGCCAUUGGGGAAUGGUAUAGUUGCAGCUGUCCUUUUAAGUGGAAUGGAAAAAAUAAAACUAAAAAUAGAAAAUAUACAUCGAAAAGAAUUUGAGUUGAGGUCGGGCAGAUCUUGGGCCGCCGCCCUAAUUUCCCUCCCGCACACCUAUGUUGUCAGCCCCAGUAAUCCAUUUCUGUGUAAGAUGUUAUCCUAAUCCGUUCCACCGGUUUCCCGCAGCUACAGAAAAUGAUUUGUCACCGUAUAACUUUUCGUACAUGAUUUUGAAAUAACCAAGAGAUUCAGACAAUCUUGAAUUACGUGAAGGCGUGCAUUGAUUUAAUAGUUAACUAGUAUAAUAUAGACAGUACGUGCCUGGCCGUGUAUAUAAGGUUUUUAAUCGAUGUCUACUGUAUAUACGCUGUAGGUUGAAAAAUGAAACUUUAGACAAUUGUGACUGGGUACAACAGUAAACUUACAUUAUAUACUCCGUUACAUAACAACAACUGUUGGAAAUUACUAGGAAACGGAUUGUUGGCUUGUGUGCAGAAUUAUCUAGAAUUAUAAUAAAGUCAGUGAUAUAUACCACAGUUUUACUGUAUACACUGAUUGAUAAAAUAAUGAAUCGUAACUAUAGUACAGUAUGAUUAAUGCGAGGUGAUUGUUCUUUGUUGCCAUGGAAUGAAUAUUUAAUGUAGAACGUUAUGGUAAUUUACUUCAUGGCAUGGUAUUAAAUUCUUGUUAUAACCUGAUGUUUCCAAUAUAUGUACCGUACCCAUUCAAGUACAACAACACAAUUGGGCCCGCCAUCUCGUGCCCAGACAACGUGUUUACCUAAAAAUGAAAUACAUUAAUACUUGGCACAAAAUAUUUCGCCAGUAAGAGAGUAAAGAGACCUCGCAACGGUUUCAUCAACCAUCUUUUGUUUCGUUAUAUGCAUUUGUUUGCCUAUACGCUGUAGAUUGAAAAAUGAAACAUUAGAUAAUUAUGAAUGCAUGGGUACCAUAAAAAAACUUUCAUUACUCCGUUACAUAACAACAACUGUUGGAAAUUAUUAGAAAAUGGGUGAAAAAGCUUCCCCGUUGCUGUUGGCUUCUGUUCAGAAAUAUCUAUAUAAUAAAGUCGGUGAUACACUGAUUGAUAAAAUAAUGAAUCCGUACCUUUGUAAAGUCUAUAGUACAGUACGAUGAAUACAUGAUUGCUCUUUAUUGCAUGGCAUGAAUAUUUGAUGUAUAGAACAUUACGGUAGCUUACCUCGGCAACAAAGGUGUCGCUCAUUCAAGGAGGGUAUUGAUUCACUAGUAUAAUGUGGACAGGUGCCUGCCUAUGUCUACUGUUUAUACACUGUAUAGGUUGAAUUAUACACUGUAGGUUGAAUUGUUUUAUAGAAAUUGUGUACAUGCAAUAAUAAACUCACGUUACUCCGUUGUUUAAUAAUAAUUGUUGAAAGCCAUUCGGGAAUGGGUGGUACUGGCUGGCUUCCCCUUUGGCUUGUGUGCAGAAAUACCUAUAUAAUAAAGUCAGUGAUAUUUACUGAUUGAUAAAAUAAUGAAUUAUAACUUUGUCCAUAUUGUUCUUUAUUGCAUGGCAUGACUAUAUUUGAUGUAGAACAUUAUGGUAGCUUACCUCAGCAACAAUGGUGUCGCUCAUUAUGUGAAGUAGGGUAUUGAUUCACUAGUAUAUAAGAUGGCAGGUGCCUGCCUAUACAUGGCUGGCCGUAUAUAAGGCCUUAAAUCAAUGUUUACUGUUUUAAACGCUGUAGGUUGAAAAAUGAAAUUUUUAUAGAAAUUGUGUACAAUAAUAAACUUGCAUCUCUCCGUUGCAUAGCAACAACUGUUGAAUAUCUGGCUUUCUUCUUCCCUUCUGGUAUUACCACUUUCCGGAUCAUAGUUCGUAGUUGAACACACGUGAUUUUUUCAUUCUUUUUUUUAAUGUUUUUUACGUCCACUGUGCUUCUUCUUGCUCGGCCGUCGUCCAUAUAACAACAACUGUUGGAACCCAUUCGGGAAUGGAUGGUAGUUGGCGUUGGCUUGUGUGCAGAAAUAUUUAUAUAAUAAAGUUAGUGAUAUAUAAAUCUUCUUGUUUCCACCCAGAAAACCACCGCCUGUACCCCUGAAGGUUUCUCCUUGUCGUGUAGACUGACUUCCAUCUGGCAUCUCGAUUUUCCCAUCUCUCAGUCGGUCCUUUUUAAGCGUGGCAGCGGUAGCUUGGCGCUUUUGCCGUCGUUUUAUGCGGCGUCGUGCAUUUCUGUUCUGUUGUUGUUAUGGUAACUUACCUCUGCAACAAUGGUGUCGCUCAUGUGAAGGAGGGUAUUGAUUCACUAGUAUAUAUAAUAUGGAUAGGUGCCUGCCUACAUGGCUGGCCGUAUAUAAAGCCUUAAAUCAAUGUUUACUGUUUUAAACGCUGUAGGUUGAAAAAAGAAAUUUUUAUACAAAUUGUGUACAAUAAUAAACUUACAUCUCUCCGUUGCACAGCAACGACUGUUGGAACCCAUUCGGGAAUGGAUGGUAGUUCCCGUUGGCGUUGGCUUGUGUGCAGAAAUAUGUAUAUAAUAAAGUCAGUGAUAUAUACUGAUUGAUAAAAUAAUGCAUUAUAAAUUUGUCCAUAUUGUUCUUUAUUGCAUGGCAUGAAUAUUUGAUGUAGAACGUAUGGUAUCUUAUUUAUUACGAGUGUUGCCAUGUCCGUAUUGUACACGGUGUAUCCACCGUAACGAGAGACUCUGUCAAAUCACACAUAUAUAGAUACAUGUCAAUGGUAGCUUGGUAAUAUAAAUAACUGUAAUACUUGAUGUAAAUCGGUCAUCGAAAUGCCCCCAAUUGGGAGUUAAUUUGCUUUCACCCGAGGUUUUCUGGAAUAAAAUGGAUAUAGUAAUGCUGAAAGCAUGUAUUUGUUAUUGUUUUAACAUUUUUACUUCUUUUUCCUUGUCCUCAUCCUCUUAAUAUAACAUCCUAAAAACAAGCGAAGUGCGAUGUAUAAACAAUAAAAUGACAUGCAGUAACGCCGAAACAGGACUACAAUUAUUCUAUAAUUAAAAUUUAUCUUUUGUUUUGGUAUUUGUUAUUUCGGAACAGAACAGCAUAUCCUUGUAAAUGCAACUACAACGGUUGUUUUUAGGUGAUUCUGACAAAGGAUUAUUUACUUCUUCAACGAAAUCCGCAUAUUAAAAUUAUUAUAGGCAUCGACAAUGUAUAUAAAUGUGACUCCUACAUAAUUUGUCACAACAAAAUCCUAAAUAAAAUUAAUGCCAAAUUUGAGCACCUUGACCUGUUUUGUCAAGUUACAAAAGGGAAUAGCUUCUGGCCAAUAUAUAUUGGCCGGUUUGCCGGCUCUGACCAGCAAUAUUUCGCUUUCUUCACCCGCUUCAGGUAUAAGAAUAUACAAACAUACAAAUACUAACAGUAUAUAUACAUACAUUUAUAUUACGAUCUUUAUGGGUAGAGGUACCAUACCAAGUAAAUUAGGUAACCCUGUAAGAAGGACUAUGAUUUUGCCGUUAGACAAUUACCCUAUCAUGUUUCAUUCGCCAAUAACACACAAAGUAAAAAGACCACAGCAUUGAAAAGCCCGAUACAUAAAAUUAUACAACUUGCCUCUAAAACUUCGUGUUUAGACGCCAUUUUCGAAUACUUAGCGAUCACCCUACCUAGGCUGACCACGGACCCAUCGGAACUGUUAAUUACCGUUACCUGUUCUGUAAAAUCACCAUGCGCCAAUAGAAUUUUCACCAGUUCUUUUUUAUUUAUAACAUUUUUUCCUGGAAGAUAUUAAAAUUAUUAGGCAUCGAUAAUGUAUAUAAAUGCGACUCCUACAUAAAUUGUCACAACAAAAUCCUAAAUAAAAUUAAUGCCAAAUUUGAGCACCUUCUUUCGCGGUUUCGUGGAUCUUUUGGUCCUCAUCGGAUAAAAGCUAUUACUCCGUUACACAACAAUUGUUGGAAGCCAUAGGAAAAAGGAUGGUAUUGCGCAGAUGUCCUGUUAAGUUGCAAAAUAGUGUACGUUUUACAAGUACAAAAUCAAAGCUUGUCUUGUAUUUGUUAUUGUUUUCCUAUUUUUUAUCUUUCUCUGUUGGUCCUCGUCAACUUAUCACUAUGAUCUCCCUUUCCUUCUCUUCUUUGACAUGCUAUAUAUAGUUUUGCAAUAAAGUGAAUGUUUGUAUUUGUUAUUGGAUCUAGCAAGUAAUUCGACAUUUAUCAGUAAAAAUUGAAAGCUCGCUUCAGUGUAUUUGUUAUUGUUUUUUUAUCAUUUUACCUCUCUUUCUUUCUUCUCUUCUUUAACAUGCUAUGUACAUCUCCAAUAUAUAUAUUGUUGGUCUUCAUCGGAACUGAUGAUGACCUCUUUCAAAAUGGUCUUCAUCGGAAUUGUUAAUGAUGACGUCGUUUUUUGGUCCUCAUCGGAACUGUUAAAGAUCUUUUGCUCCUCAUCGGAUAAAACUUAUCACUCCGUUACACAACAAUAAUUGUUGGAAGACAUUGGGAAAAUGAUGCAUCGUAUUGUGCAGAUGUCCUGUUGGCUUGUGUGCAGAAAUAUUUAUAAAAUAUAGUCGGUGAUAUAUACUGAUGGUAAAAUAAUGAAUCGCAACUUUGUAAAGUCUGUAAUACAGUAUGGUGAAUGCGAGGUGAUUGUUCUUUAUUGCAUGGUAUGAAUAUUUGACGUAAAACGUUACGGACCUCGGGUGUCGCUCAUGCACCCACUGGUUUUCGUCGAGUGUUGCCAUGUCUGUGUUGUCUGAGAUUUCUCCGUAUCGGGCCACAGGCCACUCUUAUCAAAUAACAUAGAUAUAGAUACAUGUCAAUGGUAGCUUGGUAAAAUAUAUAUAUAUAUAUUGGUCUUCAUCGGAACUUAUAAUGAUGACCUCUUUCUUUUUGCCUUUAUCGGAACUGAAAAUGAUGACCUCUUUCUUACUGUUGGUCCUGAUCGGAACUGUUAAUGAUGACCUCAUUCUUUUGUCCUCAUCUCAUCGCUAAUGUAGAAUUCCACCUUACAAUAGAACAGAACAUAUUACCCGUUAAGCUGCAAUGUUUGUCUCAAAGUUGCAAAAUAAUAAACGUGUGUACUAUUGCAUUUCUCGAUAUAUAUUCCAAGGGAGCAUUCAUAAUUUACCAAGAGGUAUCAGAGAGCUAUGAUGAUUUUCCGACUUCUUUUUAACUCGUUCCCAUUCAAAUCCCCCUUGUUCAUUGAAAAUUAUAUAAUAGAUAUUUUACCAUGGAAUUUAUAUGUACUGCAUGCAUAUACAUCACGGGAAAGGACAUGUUGGUACCAAAUUAUUUUAGAUACGAAACAUCUCGACUAAAAUAAUUUCAAUUACUAGCAUUUUCUCCUUCAUUCACUCUAAUUUUUGUACAUUUUCGGACCAGGAGCAGGUAUCGAUCCUGCAGUCCUACUGAUUCCAUCGCAGCGCUCUGACCAAUCUAGUGAACUGUUUGAGUCUAGUUGUCGAGCUUUUAAACGCGCAAAUUCAUUAUACUAAGGGGUGAUGCCUGUGUAACGAAAUAUGUGAAAUUUACACCCGAAAUUUUCAUCCACAUACUAAAGUAAAACCUAGUCCUAGAACGUUUCGAUCCUUAUAUUUGCCCAGUGAGCUCCAUAUAUAUAUCUGGAGUAGGAACUUGGUUGCUCAAAGUGAAGCCAGUUUCGUGUUAACCGCGCAGACAAAAACAAUAGAAAGGGACUGUAACUGACGUCCAAGAGCUCCUUCAAUUUUCGCAAUCUUGGCAAGGAGUGUGUUGAAAUUUCGUAUUUUGACUUCGAUUUAAAGAAUAAUAUUGUGAUUUUACGAACUGAAAACUUGAUUAGUGAUACGAUUCAUUAGAAAAAACUGGAAUUAGCUGGGAAAAUGGUAUAAAAACUGUUUGCGACCUUCAGAGCUAUUGGACGUCAAUGGCCGCCAUCUUGGCUUCACCUCUCUCAUAGGCCGAAUGACUGAAGUUCUUACUCCAGAUAUAUAUAGAGCUCACUGUAUUUGCCCAUUUUGUCUUUCAAUUGAUGACUUGUAAAUCAACUUCCAACGUUGUCUUGACGUAAUUACGACAAAUGAUUGUUGUUGACGAAAUCCACAUAUGUUAACUGUCGAUAGUUUUGGUCAACGUUUACUUGAGCAUUUUUUAUUUUAAUAUAUUGAAAUAUAUUUAUACCGAUAGUUUAUUAAAAUAUAUUUAUAGAUAUUAUUAAAAUAUUAAACCGAUAGUUUCAGAAAACAUAAAACUAGUGUUAUUCUGAAAAAGUGUGCAUUUUAACAACACAUCUAUUUUAAAAAAAUAUUUUGAAUCCAUUCCAAUUCAUCUUCAGCAGAAAAUUAACAAGAUACGGCGUAUAUAUAAUGCACACUUUCGAAAUAACAUUAGUUUUGAAUUGAAAACACCCCAUAAUACGUCUUUUUUCAUGUCUUGUUGUGUGUAAGCACAAUGGUGUAUUCUCUGUAACUUUCACAAUUUGUUAUAUAUUAAUGCAAUAAUAUUUCUUUUCUUUGCUUAUUUAUUAUUGAGCUACACUUGUUUUACAUUGUUACUGAUAACAGAGUUCUUGCCAAACGAGAAUUAGAGUAGAUGAAAGUUUGCGUUCACGCAUUAUUACGGAGACAUUUCAAGCUCUUUCUAGCACUAUUUUGAACUUAAAUUUGUUGCGAAGGAUGUUUCAAUCUCUAGUUUGACAAAUAAAAAAUUUGAGUUUUUCCAACUAUUGUCAGUUUAACACUUCAUACUGAAUUUAUGUUUCAACUUAAAUAAAAUGCAUGACAGUGUUGGGAACAAUCUCGUACUAUGGGUACGCCGGAUUGUGUUGAGAAAACAAUAAAAGAUAAGAAAUGUUACUAAAGCCGGGUUUCCAAUAUGGUCGUAAAGAUUGAGUCACGAUCUUUCUCAUGAAAAGUGAUAAUAACUAGAGAAUACUCAUGAUUUAUAUGUGGUUUACAGAUAUAAACUAUUAUAAACUUGCUGUUGAGACAGAUCGUGACUCUAUUGUUACGACCAUAUGGAAACAAGGCUUAAGCAAGGUUGGUCACGUGACUAGUGCCAACUCUCGUGCACUCUCAUCCUCGUUUGACCCAGCCUAAGAAAAAGUAAAACCUCCAUUACUCUUGUUAAAUUAAAAUGAUAACCAAGCUUGUAAAAAAAAAAAGAAAAAAUCUUCAAAUGUGAACAUAUAUUUUAAAAUUAUUUUGUUGAUAUUUUAUUGUUAAAUUGCUAUUGACUGUAUUACAAAGUAUGAUGAAAAAUUAGCACAAAGACAUACAUAAGGGUGUAAAGCAAAAUUUGUUGAAUAUCUUUGUAAUAGAAUUCAAAGGCACAUCUUGUAAAUAUUGUCAAAUUUAUCUUAUGUUUUUGUUAUCCUGUUAUUGGCAGUAAAAUUGAAUUAAAUAAAAAUACAUUCAAGUCAUUCAACG
Paramuricea clavata is the source of this 18189-nucleotide non-coding RNA. The record is from the annotation of a GenBank genome assembly. NCBI's taxonomy places the organism in Eukaryota, Metazoa, Cnidaria, Anthozoa, Malacalcyonacea, Plexauridae.